AUUAAGGUGGCAGAUCAGUGCAUAGGAUUUAAGCUCCUGUUAGGGAAUAAUUUUUAUUCUUCUUAAUA
RNAcentral lists this transfer RNA (68 nucleotides) under Chiroteuthis picteti. RNAcentral's name for it is "tRNA-Leu". Lineage: Eukaryota; Metazoa; Mollusca; Cephalopoda; Oegopsida; Chiroteuthidae. The record is from RNAcentral.